UCUGGAAAAGGACACAGGAAGAGGAGAAAGGGGACCAGUCAAAUAGGUGCACGUCUGCCACAGACCACUACACAGCUUUGAAAAUAUCAAGGCAGCUCGUUAUGUACUGGUAUGGAAUUCUCUCCAGGACAUAUUAUUAAACAAAAGAAGCAAGGAGCAUAACGCAUCUCGCAGAUGAAACUCAGUGAAUCUUCAUUGACACGAGCAUCAUCAUCCUCAUCCCCAUCUUCCAGAUGAGAAGACUGAGGCACAGCGCAGUUUCAGGUACAACACAACGAUUCGAUAUUUGUAAAUCUUGAGAAACGAUCGCCACGGAGACACCCCCUGGAAGGCCCUCCCGCGGGCCUGUUCCGGAGCCACCCUUCAGGAGGACCUUCCAGACAGAAACCAAGAUGCCCGCUUCACCCCCGUUAGGACGGCUGCUGUCAGAAAACCAGAAAAUAACAAGUAUUGGGGAGGAUGUGGAGAAACUGGGACCUCUGUGCUCUGUUGCUGGGAAUGUAAUGGUGCAGCCACUGGAAAACAGUAUGACAUUUCCCCUAAAAAUUAAAAAUGGAAUUACCGUAUAAUCCAGCAAUUCCGCUGUGGGUAUACACCCCAAAGAAGUGAAAGCAGGGGCUCAGCCAGUUAUUUAUACACCUUUGUUCACAGCAGCGCUGUUCACAACGGCCAAAAGGUAGAAGCAACCCAGGUGCCCAUCGACUGAUGAGUGGAUAAAUACAACGUGGUAUAAGCAUACGACAGAAUAUCAUUCAGCCUUAAAAAGGAAGGAAAUUCUGACACAAGCUACAAUGUGAAUGAACCUUGAGGACAUUAUGCUGAGUGAAACAAGCCAGUCUCAAAAGGAUCAAUACUGUAUGAUUCCACUUAUGUGAGGCCCCUCGAGCAGCCAAAUGCACAGAGACAGAAAGUUGAAGGGUGGCUGCCAGCGGCUGGGGAGAGAGGGGAGUGGGAGUUAUUAUUUCAUGGGCACGGAGUUCCAGUUUUGCCAGCUGAAAAGAGUUCUGGAGACGGAUGGUGGGGAUGGUUGCACAGCAAAAUGAAUGUAUUUAAUAGCACCGAACUGUGCACUUAACAAUGGUUAAGAUAUUAGGUGUAUUUUGCCACGAUUAAAAAUUGAAAACAAAAAAAGGAAAAGAUGCCCCCGCCUCUUCUCUGGGGCCCAGAAAGGAGGUCUCAUUUAAUGACAGGAAGGACCCCCAGCAGUCCUGGGGCCCCCUCCAAUUCCCUCUGGACAUUAACAGUCUGAGGCAGGCCUCUGUGACCCUAAGAGAAGCCAUCUGAGACUUUAGUGUUGCCCUUUGGCCCCAGAACAGCAUCUCAAUGAAAGGACGUUGAGAGAAAUAGAGUUGGAGUUCUCAUAUUGUCUUUGGGUGACCUUGGACAAUUCACUGUAUCUCCUUGGGCCUCAGUUUCCUCAUCUUACCAAGUGAGGGGGUUGGACUUCAGAAGUUGCCCAGGAAUCCUGUCUGGCUCCCAGAAGUGUCUUGUCUGUCUGUAAUAAGAUUUAAAAUUGGGACGGUCAGCCACCCAGGGCUCUGUUCCUCCGUGGUCACCACCGUUGAAGGUGGCCCCCCUGGAUGGAGCCAGUGCUGCCCAGUUCAGGCAGUGCCCCCCAUGGGCCUGACCCUCCCUGCCAGGGCCCCGGAGGUGCUUGAGUUUGCAAAGCCUGGACAAGAGGACACCAAGGAGCCUCUGACUUCAGUGAUGGCUUCGUUAGGCUUUCCGAG
RNAcentral lists this long non-coding RNA (1730 nucleotides) under Equus caballus (horse). RNAcentral's name for it is "lncRNA (ENSECAG00000046101.1)". Lineage: Eukaryota; Metazoa; Chordata; Mammalia; Perissodactyla; Equidae. The record is from RNAcentral.